AAACAGAUCAAAACUUGAAAGAUGGCAAGAGACUCCAUCUUCAUCUUCUCUCUUGUCUUAUUUUUCCUCCUUUCUUCUGCAAAUGCCUCUGAAAACCCCAACUCCGUGUCAUCUUCUGUACACGAGGAGCUCAGGAAGAACGGUUUCCCAACUGGGUUGCUCCCAACAAACGUCGUAGCUUACACCCUCAACCGGACCUCCGGUGAUUUCUCUGUAAAUCUCGGCGAUUCGUGUAAGGUUUUGAUCCCUCCGGACAAUUAUGAAACUGCAUACUCGAAGAAGAUAACGGGGAAACUUAUCCACAGAAGAAUCGCCAACCUUGACGGGAUACGAGUUAGGGCUUUCUUCACGUGGUGGUCUAUCACCGGAAUUAUCUCAAGCGGUGAGAAUUUGAUUCUUGAGGCUGGAAUAGGGUCGGCCACGUACCCAUCGAAGAGUUUCGAGGAAAGUUUGACGUGUAAGGGUCAGCGCUCCUCUUAGUAACUGGAUCUUAAAGAUGGAAAAGAUGAUUGGUACGUGGCAAGUAUUAGGCCGAAGGAUUGUUUUAUUUGAAUGGUGGUGAUUUGUAGAAAUAGAAAGCACUCUGUAUGCCACUUUCUCCUCUGCAGUGGCAUCGUCAAUUGGGUCAUUUGUCUUUUUCUCCUACUUCCAAGAAAUUAGUUCUUAGUUUAGCAUUACCGAGUUACAAUGUUAAUCGUGUCAACUUGGUAAGCACAGUCGAGUGUCUUUUGUUUCAAGAGAAAAUAAAAGAGUGACAGGUCCUUUUGUUAUUGUCCACUCUAAUGUUUGUGGUCCAAAUUGUAUUGAGUCAUAAAUAGUUUUAAAUAUUUUUGUUACAUCUAUUGAUGGUUAUGGUUACUCCAGAAUGUUAUGGAUUUAUUUAAUGAAAAUCUA
Molecule: long non-coding RNA, 894 nt
Organism: Nelumbo nucifera (sacred lotus)
Lineage: Eukaryota; Viridiplantae; Streptophyta; Magnoliopsida; Proteales; Nelumbonaceae
Source: RefSeq, a predicted model, not a curated record